This 241-nucleotide ribosomal RNA is filed under the name uncultured bacterium. RNAcentral's name for it is "partial 16S ribosomal RNA". It matches the Rfam family "Bacterial small subunit ribosomal RNA", at positions 15 to 244 of the family's 1533-position model. The record is from RNAcentral.
GAUCCUGGCUCAGAUGAACGCUAGCGACAGGCCUAACACAUGCAAGUCGAGGGGCAGCGAAGAGGUAGCAAUACCUUUGCCGGCGACCGGCGCACGGGUGAGUACACGUAUGCAAUCCACCUGUAACAGGGGGGAUAACCCCGGAGAAAUCCGGACUAAUACCCCAUAAUAUGGGCGCUCCGCAUGGAGAGCCCCAUUAAAGAGAGCAAUUUUGGUUACAGACGAGCAUGCGCUCCAUUAG